CCUAGGGGUGGCUGCAGUGGGGAAUAUUGGACAAUGGGCGAAAGCCUGAUCCAGCCAUGCCGCGUGUGUGAAGAAGGCCUUCGGGUUGUAAAGCACUUUCAGUGGGGAAGAAAGCCUUGGGGCUAAUACCCUCGAGGAAGGACAUCACCCACAGAAGAAGCACCGGCUAACUCCGUGCCAGCAGCCGCGGUAAUACGGAGGGUGCGAGCGUUAAUCGGAAUUACUGGGCGUAAAGCGCGCGUAGGCGGUCUGAUAAGCCGGUUGUGAAAGCCCCGGGCUCAACCUGGGAACGGCAUCCGGAACUGUCAGGCUAGAGUGCAGGAGAGGAAGGUAGAAUUCCCGGUGUAGCGGUGAAAUGCGUAGAGAUCGGGAGGAAUACCAGUGGCGAAGGCGGUCUUCUGGACUGACACUGACGCUGAGGUGCGAAAGCGUGGGUAGCAAACAGGAUUAGAUACCCGAGUAGUC
RNAcentral lists this ribosomal RNA (465 nucleotides) under Vreelandella stevensii. RNAcentral describes it as "partial 16S ribosomal RNA". It matches the Rfam family "Bacterial small subunit ribosomal RNA", at positions 338 to 795 of the family's 1533-position model. Lineage: Bacteria; Pseudomonadati; Pseudomonadota; Gammaproteobacteria; Oceanospirillales; Halomonadaceae. The record is from RNAcentral.